This is an RNA transcript of Elaeis guineensis (African oil palm), 1944 nucleotides long. It is a transcript of the gene named O-methyltransferase 1, chloroplastic, with no coding region annotated. The record is from RefSeq and is a predicted model, not a curated record. NCBI's taxonomy places the organism in Eukaryota, Viridiplantae, Streptophyta, Magnoliopsida, Arecales, Arecaceae.
AAAAAGAAAGAAAGAAAGAAAGAAAGAAAGAAACGGCACAAGAGGAAUUACCUCAGCGGCAUUUCCUCAUUCUCUUUUUCCCUUGUUAUGCAAAACAUCACAUGUGACGGACGGAACCCAACAUUGUCGUAACGAUCGUUAUAACAGCCGAAGUCCGUUCAGAUCCAGGUCCACAAGUUCCACAGGAAGAGCCCGAACGAUCGUAGCCAUAGAAAGGCGGAGAAAAUGGCCGGGCUGGAGAGCCUAAUCUGCCCGAUGCGAUGCGGCGGGGUGGCGAAGUGCUCCAUCUUCCCCUUUCUGCCGGCCGCUGGCUUCGCUCGGGGAUGGAAGUGGGAGAAGGCCGGACGUAUGACCGUUGCCAUCGCCGCCAGGCUUGGCCGGGAAGACCCUGAUUUGCUUCUCCGAGCAGCUCUCAGGGCGGCGUCCCUUCGAUUCCAAGAGACCCUUCGCCCAGAUCCUCUUUUCGUUGAUCCAUAUGCCAGCUGCCUUCUUUCCCCUGUCAAUGGUCAUCAGGAUAUGGAGGAACAACCUCCAGUUUUAACAACUACACUAUCUCCAUAUCACUAUAGGUUAGCAACAAAAUUCCUUGAUGACAAAUUGCUUAGUUUGGUGAGCAGUAUGGACGAACUGAGGCAGAUUGUUUUGUUGACAGAUGGUAUGGACACCCGCCCAUAUAGGCUGAGUUGGCCUCAGCCAUCCAUUGUAUAUGAUGUCUCUCCAGGAAGAGUCUUCAAGGUAGCGUCUCAAAGGCUUAAAGGUACAGGAGCUAAAAUUUCAAGAAACUGCAUGCUAGUCCAUGUUCCUCUAGAAUCUUCUGAUUUACAGGCGAUUUUGUGUGAGAAAGGCUUUAAAGGUGACAAACCAAGUUUAUGGGUGCUUCAGGGGCUACCGCUGUUGACUUCAAUAGGCUUGAAAGACAUUUUGUUUGCUAUCAGCAAUUUAGCCAUGAAAGGAAGCAUUUUAAUUGGAGAAUUGCCUCUCUGUUUGCUGGGGACAGAAGUUGGAAACAUGGCUACAGUGCAGAAGUACAUGGAAAAACUUUUUAUGAGUCAUGGUUUCAGAUCUGAUGUAUUUGACUAUGGUGAAGUUGCAAAAAACAUGCUCUUGGAUCCGCCAUCAGGAGCUUAUGAGAAUGUUCUUUUCCUUGCAGAACAGUUGCAGUUAUCUGAUGCUCAGAUGGAGAGCUGGUGGAUGCACUUUGAAAGGAUAGAGGAAGAAGGUGAUGAAGAAGGAUUUGAAGAACUGUAGCAUCCUGAAGAAACCACUGGUUUGAAAGUUGAUACAGCGAUUCUGUUAAAUGCUAAUAACAUCUUUGGGCACAAAGUUCUCUCUCCAGGUAUCAAUUAACAAUCUGAAACAAGGGGCAGCGUAGAUGAAGAAGAGAUCGGACGCGAGCUUGAAGAUGGGCUGGUCUCGUCAGGGAUGUCGGAGGAAUCAACGAGGCCUAGGAUUUUGGCAUGCUUCCGCUCGUCAACGACGGGAGGAGGCGGGCGGCAUUUUAUGUUCCUAUUUUCUCCGGAAGCUUCGGAUAAAUGAUUAUUACGAUGGCAUAUUUAGCAAGGCAACCCAAUCUAUUAUUACUACGUAAAUGAUUCAAUUCGGUGGAUGCACGGCACUCAUAGACUUCUAUAGCCAGAUCGGCAUUUCUAAAGACUAUUGCAACUCGUCACACUUCCAAACAUUGAAAACCUUCGGGAGAGGAUAUCGAGCCUCAACAGUUUGAUCCAAGGACAUACCAAUCAAAGAUACGCUACAGCAACUGAUAUGCAAGAAUUACAGGCCAUUUGGCUGCCAAGCUGAGGAAGACUUAGUUUUGUCCCUCUUUCUCCGCUUUGCUUUGUAAUAUAGGUGAGAUUCAGAUGCACAAGUGUCCGAUAGAAAUACUACAUGCCUUCUAACUUCCCAUCUCAUCCUAAUCUAGUCAUGGUCACAAUCACUCUUUAA